RNAcentral lists this ribosomal RNA (229 nucleotides) under uncultured bacterium. RNAcentral's name for it is "partial 16S ribosomal RNA". It matches the Rfam family "Bacterial small subunit ribosomal RNA", at positions 119 to 334 of the family's 1533-position model. The record is from RNAcentral.
GGAUAAUCUACCCGACAAUCAGGGAUAACAUUUCGAAAGGGAUGCUAAUACCUGAUAAGCCCACGACCUCUUCGGAGGCUGUGGGAAAAGGUGGGGACCUUCGGGCCUACCGUUGUCGGAUGAGUCCGCGUCUCAUUAGCUAGUUGGUAGGGUAAUGGCCUACCAAGGCUACGAUGGGUAGCUGGUCUGAGAGGAUGACCAGCCACACUGGAACUGAGACACGGUCCAG